RNAcentral lists this unclassified non-coding RNA (204 nucleotides) under Hevea brasiliensis (rubber tree). Lineage: Eukaryota; Viridiplantae; Streptophyta; Magnoliopsida; Malpighiales; Euphorbiaceae. The record is from RNAcentral.
GGGUGAGUUAGGCGACCCAUUUUCUUAAGAAGUGUAGAAUGUGAAUCACCAAAAUAAUUAAGCACCAUAAUUUUUCUUCACUGGAUUUUUCAUUCGAGAUUAGAAGUGACAUGUCUUAAGUUAAUCAGGAUGUGGAAUUUAACGUUUGCAAUCCUUGGCUAAGCUCAUUGAUUGUGUGGUUGUGAUGUUCUUGCUAGAAUAGUA